ACUUCAGUAGCUUAAGCUUAAAGAGCAUAGUGUUGAAGCCGCUAAGGUGGGCCUACUAGCCCCUGGGGUG
This 70-nucleotide transfer RNA is filed under the name Cittarium pica. Its description in RNAcentral is "tRNA-Phe". Lineage: Eukaryota; Metazoa; Mollusca; Gastropoda; Trochida; Tegulidae. The record is from RNAcentral.